UACGUAGGGUGCGAGCGUUGUCCGGAAUUAUUGGGCGUAAAGGGCUCGUAGGCGGUUUGUCGCGUCGGGAGUGAAAACUCAGGGCUUAACCCUGAGCCUGCUUCCGAUACGGGCAGACUAGAGGUAUGCAGGGGAGAACGGAAUUCCUGGUGUAGCGGUGAAAUGCGCAGAUAUCAGGAGGAACACCAGUGGCGAAGGCGGUUCUCUGGGCAUUCCCUGACGCUGAGGAGCGAAAGUGUGGGGAGCGAACAGG
This 253-nucleotide ribosomal RNA is filed under the name uncultured bacterium. RNAcentral's name for it is "partial 16S ribosomal RNA". It matches the Rfam family "Bacterial small subunit ribosomal RNA", at positions 524 to 776 of the family's 1533-position model. The record is from RNAcentral.